AGAGGGUAAAUCACUAACGACUAAUGAUAAUAGGUGAAAAAAUUGUUGAUAAUUUAUAGGAAAUCUUUGGAAAAUUGUGGUACUUUGGAAUCUGAUGUACAAACUAUUGAUUAUUGAUUUACUCUCUGGUAAAAUAUGUUACAUCAUGGCUAUAUUUUCUUCUUCUUCAUUGGCAUUACCUCUUCAAGAAAUUUUACUACCACCAACAUCUCCUUCCACUCUUCUCUAUUUUGUACUUUUUCUUCCCAAUUUGGUAUCCCUAGGUUCUCUAAAUCCUGCUUUGUUCCAUCAAUCUAUCGUUUCUUUGGACGUCCUCUUGGUCUCUUUCUUGUGGAUUCCCUGUUCCUCUUUAAGGAUCUCUGAGUUGGGCCUUCUCAUCACGUGCCCAAACCAUUUUAUUAUUUUUGCUUUCGCAAAAUUAGUUAUUCUUUGAACCCCUGUUAAAUAUCGGAUCUCUUUAUUCCUUCUUCUGCGCCAUCAUCCUAGUUUGUUGUCGUAUACUGGACCUCAGAUGGUUCUCAAUAUUUUGUUUUUGAAUGACUUAAGUUCUUGUUCCAUUCUGCUAGUUAAAGGCCACACCCCACAUCCAUAUGUUAAUGUUGAUCUAAUUAUCGCCGUAUAGAGAUGUACUUUGGUUUUUCUAGAAAACAGUUGAUUUUAAGUAUUUAGUUACCGAAAAUGAUGUCUGUCUUAAUGAUUCGGUUAUUUAAUUUGAUGGACAAAUCAUUAUUAUCACUGAUAGAGGCCCUCAGAUAUUUAAAUUGGAGUACUUUUUCUAAUUUACUUAUGUAUGCCUUUGAAUCACUACAUUGUCAACCUGGUUGUCUGGUAAUAACUCCAUCACUUUAGUUUUAUUAUCAUUUACAUUUAGCCCCAUGGUUUUGGCUUUGUUAAUGAGAGCUAUGGUGCUCUGUACCACACUCUCUCCAUCGUCACCAACUAUAUUCAAAUCAUCAGCAAAACCUAAAAUACCAAUCUUCAGUAUACUGUCAAUACCUCAUUUAUCCCCCUGUAUACUCCGUACAACUUUCUCCAGUGCAAUAUUGAACAGUAGUGGUGAAAGAGCGAUCUAUAUCUACAAAUGCAAUUUAAAGUAGUGUUUAAUAUAGUAAAAAUAUAUUCAUGUAUACCUGCAUAAUAAUAUAAUAUGUAAUUUGUCAUAACUAAAUAAAUUGAUAACAGUUUUUCUUUUUUGUCGAAAAGUCUAAUAAGUUGAUAUAAUGCUUCCUUUGUAAAACCUAUUUAGUCUAGUUAUGAACGUAAAUCGAUAAGGUAGCGCUCAAUUAGCUAUAAACAAUUCAAGACUUAAAAUAUUUUCAAAAUUAUACAUGUAUACAUUAUUAUUUUAUGAUAGAGUUAAUAUAAAUAUCUGGUGAAAAUAAUUGGUUACUUAGUUUACUACAGUUCUUGUUAUUAACUGAAUUACAAAAAAAAAAAAAAACCAUCAAUAAUAAUAGAAACUAGUUGCACUUCAAUUUUCCACACUAUUCCCAAUUAUUAAGUAAGAAAACUACAAGGAAAAUAAAAAAAUGACCUCCCUUUCUAAUGUACAAAGACAAUAUUUCUACCAGUCACCACCCUUAAAGUUGAUGAUCAGAGCAAUAUUUCUGGUAGAAAAGUUGUUUACAGGCAAACAUUAAAAAACACAUAUAGUAAAACCAAUAAAUUCCUCAAUACACUAAGAAACAAAAUGCUUUUUUUGAUAUACAUUUUAGUACCUAGGUAUAAAUAGUAAAAUGUAGAAUUUAAAUAGUUCAUUUACAGACUUGCCAAGAAAAU
This 1779-nucleotide long non-coding RNA is filed under the name Cinara cedri. The record is from RNAcentral. Lineage: Eukaryota; Metazoa; Arthropoda; Insecta; Hemiptera; Aphididae.